Ribosomal RNA from Lepisosteus oculatus (spotted gar), 118 nucleotides. The record is from Ensembl. Lineage: Eukaryota; Metazoa; Chordata; Actinopteri; Semionotiformes; Lepisosteidae.
GCCAACAGCCAUAUCACUCUGCAACUCACAACUGGCAACCCACUGAAGCUCAGCAGGUGUGAGCCUGGUCAGUACCUGGAUGGGAGACUCCUGGGAAAAACUAAGGUUGCUGUUGGAA